GGAUGCGAUCAUACCAGCACUAAAGCACCGGAUCCCAUCAGAACUCCGAAACUAAGCGUGCUUGGGCGGGAGUAGUACUAGGAUGGGUGACCUCCUGGGAAGUCCUCGUGUUGCAUUCC
This 119-nucleotide ribosomal RNA is filed under the name Triticum dicoccoides. Lineage: Eukaryota; Viridiplantae; Streptophyta; Magnoliopsida; Poales; Poaceae. The record is from RNAcentral.